GGCGCCGAGCCCAGCGCGGCACUGCUCCCUCCCGCCCUUCUGCGCACGCGUGCCCGAGCCAGCGAGCCCUGAGAGAACGGACCCAGGUGUGAUUCCCCUCAUUACGGCGGCACCGUGGAAGUGCAGACUUUCACAGGGGGUGUGGUCUCAGCUCACACAGGGUUUGAUGCUGUGGAUGGAGGAAGAUAGGGUCACCUUCGUUUGACCAGGAAGAGUAACAGGUUCUCUAUGGCCGGACAUGGUGAUAUAUAUCUGUAAUCCCAGCACUCGGGAGGCUGAGGUGGGAAGAUUACUGCAAGUUCGAGUCCAGCCUGGGUUACAUAGCAAGACUGUCUUUAAAAAAAACCAAACAAAAAAUCAAGUUUUCUAUGGUUUUGGUGUGAUACAACUUGGCUCUAAGUUCUGCUACUUCCUUUUUGU
RNAcentral lists this long non-coding RNA (420 nucleotides) under Heterocephalus glaber (naked mole-rat). RNAcentral's name for it is "lncRNA (ENSHGLG00000043234.1)". Lineage: Eukaryota; Metazoa; Chordata; Mammalia; Rodentia; Bathyergidae. The record is from RNAcentral.